AAGUCGUAACAAGGUUUCCGUAGGUCAAGUUUUGCCUACCACAGCGGCCACCGCCGCUAGUCUCUCGCGAGGCGACACGCUCAAAUUGCGGAAAGGCCCCUGCGGGGAAAAUCCGCAGCUCCUACCCGGAGCUCAGAGGCUCAAUGAGUGUGGGUUCAGCGCUGGCUGAGCUUAAGAUAGAGUCCGUCCCGGCUGGCAACUGCCGGGAGUGAACGGAACCUGCGGAAGGAUCAUUAAAGAAUACACGGCUUCCUAGCCCUAUUCUCACCCUUUGUUUAUUUACUUUGUUGCUUUGGCGGCGCCAGCUUCGGCUGGGCAAGUCCGUCAAGGGCCCAACUCUUGAAUCUCUGCUGUCUGAGUACUAUCUAAUAGUUAAAA
Molecule: unclassified non-coding RNA, 378 nt
Filed under: plant metagenome
Description: partial contains small subunit ribosomal RNA and internal transcribed spacer 1
Rfam family: Group I catalytic intron (bases 16-206)
About the family: Group I catalytic introns are large self-splicing ribozymes.
Source: RNAcentral